Molecule: ribosomal RNA, 301 nt
Filed under: uncultured bacterium
Lineage: Bacteria
Description: partial 16S ribosomal RNA
Rfam family: Bacterial small subunit ribosomal RNA
Source: RNAcentral
CAGUCGCCGCGGUAAUGCGUAGGGUGCGAGCGUUAAUCGGAAUUACUGGGUGUAAAGCGUGCGCAGGCGGUUAUAUAAGACAGAUGUGAAAUCCCCGGGCUCAACCUGGGACCUGCAUUUGUGACUGUAUAGCUAGAGUACGGUAGAGGGGGAUGGAAUUCCGCGUGUAGCAGUGAAAUGCGUAGAGAUGUGGAGGAACACCGAUGGCGAAGGCAAUCCCCUGGACCUGUACUGACGCUCAUGCACGAAAGCGUGGGGAGCAAACAGGAUUAGAUACCCCCGUAGUCCCUGUCUCUUAUAA